RNAcentral lists this ribosomal RNA (322 nucleotides) under uncultured Pseudomonadota bacterium. RNAcentral's name for it is "bacterial SSU rRNA". It matches the Rfam family "Bacterial small subunit ribosomal RNA", at positions 30 to 351 of the family's 1533-position model. The record is from RNAcentral. Lineage: Bacteria; Pseudomonadati; Pseudomonadota.
AUUGAACGCUGGCGGAAUGCUUUACACAUGCAAGUCGAACGGCAGCACGGGGCAACCUGGUGGCGAGUGGCGAACGGGUGAGUAAUAUAUCGGAACGUACCUUUCAGUGGGGGGAUAACGCAGCGAAAGUUGCGCUAAUACCGCAUAUUCUGUGAGCAGGAAAGCAGGGGGAUCGCAAGACCUUGCGCUGAUUGAGCGGCCGAUAUCAGAUUAGCUAGUUGGUGAGGUAAAGGCUCACCAAGGCGACGAUCUGUAGCGGGUCUGAGAGGAUGAUCCGCCACACUGGAACUGAGACACGGUCCAGACCUCCUACGGGUGGCUG